This 135-nucleotide small nucleolar RNA is filed under the name Cricetulus griseus (Chinese hamster). RNAcentral describes it as "Small nucleolar RNA SNORA70". Lineage: Eukaryota; Metazoa; Chordata; Mammalia; Rodentia; Cricetidae. The record is from RNAcentral.
AUGGCAAGCCAAGGUCCCUUAGGGCAGCCCAUAUAGGCGAUAGGCUGCAUACGCUACCAAGGAGGCUGCUGUUUGCAACCAUUGCACACCAGGCUCCCAUGGGGAAAGGGACCUGAUCGGCUUAAUUAGCUGCAA